AGUGAACGCUGGCGGUAGGCCUAACACAUGCAAGUCGAACGGCAGCACAGUAAGAGCUUGCUCUUACGGGUGGCGAGUGGCGGACGGGUGAGGAAUACAUCGGAAUCUACUUUUUCGUGGGGGAUAACGUAGGGAAACUUACGCUAAUACCGCAUACGACCUACGGGUGAAAGCAGGGGAUCUUCGGACCUUGCGCGAUUGAAUGAGCCGAUGUCGGAUUAGCUAGUUGGCGGGGUAAAGGCCCACCAAGGCGACGAUCCGUAGCUGGUCUGAGAGGAUGAUCAGCCACACUGGAACUGAGACACGGUCCAGACUCCUGCGGUAGGUCGCAGUGGGGAAUAUUGGACAAUGGGCGCAAGCCUGAUCCAGCCAUACCGCGUGGGUGAAGAAGGCCUUCGGGUUGUAAAGCCCUUUUGUUGGGAAAGAAAAGCAGCAGGUUAAUACCCCGCUGUUCUGACGGUACCCAAAGAAUAAGCACCGGCUAACUUCGUG
This 492-nucleotide ribosomal RNA is filed under the name uncultured bacterium. RNAcentral's name for it is "partial 16S ribosomal RNA". It matches the Rfam family "Bacterial small subunit ribosomal RNA", at positions 29 to 507 of the family's 1533-position model. The record is from RNAcentral.